CCUACGGGAGGCAGCAGUGGGGAAUAUUGGACAAUGGGGGCAACCCUGAUCCAGCGACGCCGCGUGUGUGAAGAAGGCCUGCGGGUUGUAAAGCACUUUUAGUGGGGAUGAAAUGUGCAGGGUUAAUACCUCUGCAUUUUGACCUAACCCAC
RNAcentral lists this ribosomal RNA (152 nucleotides) under uncultured bacterium. RNAcentral describes it as "partial 16S ribosomal RNA". It matches the Rfam family "Bacterial small subunit ribosomal RNA", at positions 338 to 482 of the family's 1533-position model. The record is from RNAcentral.